RNAcentral lists this ribosomal RNA (918 nucleotides) under Diphtherophora obesus. RNAcentral describes it as "bacterial SSU rRNA". It matches the Rfam family "Eukaryotic small subunit ribosomal RNA", at positions 39 to 966 of the family's 1831-position model. The record is from RNAcentral. Lineage: Eukaryota; Metazoa; Nematoda; Enoplea; Triplonchida; Diphtherophoridae.
AAAGAUUAAGCCAUGCAUGUGUUCGCACAAGCCCUUGAAUGGUGAAGCCGCGAAUGGCUCAUUACAACAGCCAUAUUUUAUUAGAUCUUUACAUCCUACAUGGAUAACUGCGGUAAUUCCGGAGCCAACACAUGCUAAAAACCCGGACCUCUCGGAACGGGUGCAUUUGUUAGUACAAACCAAUCGGGCCUUCGGGUCCGCUUUUUGGUGAAUCUGAAUAACUUUGCUGAUCGCACGGUCUCGUACCGGCGACAAAUCUUUCAAGUGUCUGCCUUAUCAACUUUCGAUGGUAGUUUAUACGCCUACCAUGGUUGUAACGGGUAACGGAGAAUAAGGGUUCGACUCCGGAGAGGGCGCCUGAGAAACGGCUACCACAUCCAAGGAAGGCAGCAGGCGCGCAAAUUACCCACUCCCAGCACGGGGAGGUAGUGACGAAAAAUAACGAGGCGGUUCUCUAUGAGGCCCGCCAUCGGAAUGGGUACAAUUUAAAUCCUUUAACGAGGAUCUAUUGGAGGGCAAGUCUGGUGCCAGCAGCCGCGGUAAUUCCAGCUCCAAUAGCGUAUAUUAAAAUUGUUGUGGUUAAAAAGCUCGUAGUUGGAUCUGCGUUCGGUGGACGUGGUCGCCUAAUGGGUGUACUGCGUUUCCUGGACUAAUCAUUCGGUUUUCCCUUGAUGCUCGUAAUUGAGUGUCUUGGGUGGCCGGAACGUUUACUUUGAAAAAAUUAGAGUGCUCAAAGCAGGCGCUUCGCCUGAACAUUCGUGCAUGGAAUAAUAAAAGAGGUCUUUGCAGCCUUUUGUUGGUUCUCGCUGUGAGGAAAUGAUCGACGGGGACAGACGGGGGCAUUCGUAUUGCGACGUUAGAGGUGAAAUUCUUGGAUCGUCGCAAGACGGACUACUGCGAAAGCAUUUGCCAAGAAUG